GUCUUUUUGGUCUUAUUAUGAAGAGUUGGGCCUGCCCAGUGAUUCGUAAUUUAACGGCCGCGGUAACUUGACCGUGCGAAGGUAGCAUAAUCAUUAGAUCUUUAAUUGGGGUCUGGAAUGAAGGGUUUGACGUGUAAGAGCUUUCUUAAAGUUAAUUGGUUGAAUUUUAGAUUCUUGUGAAGACGCUAGAAUUUUUUUAUUAGACGAGAAGACCCUAUCAAGUUUUACUUUUAUUUUCUUUGGUUUUGUUAUGUCUGUAAGGAAAGUGUGAGUUUUGCUGGGGCGGUUAAUUUAUAUGUAACAAAAUAUAGAAAAGAUUAAGACGCUUUGUGUGAAAUUUUUUGAUCCAGAUUUUUUGAUAAAUGGGAAAAAUUACUGUAGGGAUAACAGCGUAAUUGUAUUGGAGAGUUCAUAUUGAUAAUGCAGGUUGCGACCUCGAUGUUGGAUUAAGAAACCCUUUGGUUGAAGGAGGCCAGGCUAUGGGCAGUCUGUUCGACUGUUAAAUUCUUACA
This 512-nucleotide ribosomal RNA is filed under the name Mecistocephalus guildingii. RNAcentral describes it as "partial 16S ribosomal RNA". It matches the Rfam family "Bacterial large subunit ribosomal RNA", at positions 1830 to 2600 of the family's 2925-position model. The record is from RNAcentral. Lineage: Eukaryota; Metazoa; Arthropoda; Chilopoda; Geophilomorpha; Mecistocephalidae.